Molecule: transfer RNA, 73 nt
Organism: Camelus ferus (Wild Bactrian camel)
Lineage: Eukaryota; Metazoa; Chordata; Mammalia; Artiodactyla; Camelidae
Rfam family: tRNA
About the family: Transfer RNA (tRNA) molecules are approximately 80 nucleotides in length.
Source: Rfam
GGGUAUAUAGCUCAGUGGUAGAAGUGCAUGCCUAGCAUGCAUGAGGUCCUGGGUUCAAUUCCCAGUACCUCCA